RNAcentral lists this unclassified non-coding RNA (250 nucleotides) under plant metagenome. Its description in RNAcentral is "partial contains small subunit ribosomal RNA, internal transcribed spacer 1, and 5.8S ribosomal RNA". The record is from RNAcentral.
GUAGGUGAACCUGCGGAAGGAUCAUUAAUGAAACUUCAAAGUCGGCUUGGUUGUCUGUGCUGGUGGAGACACAUGUGCACGUCGACAAAGUCGCAAACCCCACACACCUGUGCAUCUAUGACUCUGAGUACCGCUUUGCAUGGGCUGUCAAACGCCCUGGUACUCGAGUAACUUUCACACACUCUGAAUGUAAUGGAAUGUCUAUUGUACAAUGUACAACCAAAAACAACUUUCAACAACGGAUCUCUUG